AACGCACAUUGCGCCCGCCAGCAUUCUGGCGGGCAUGCCUGUUCGAGCGUCAUUUCAACCCUCGAGCUCCCCUUGGGGAGCCCGGCGUUGGGGACCGGCAGCACACCGCCGGCCCUGAAAUGGAGUGGCGGCCCGUCCGCGGCGACCUCUGCGUAGUACAUCACCUCGCACUGGAGACCCGACGUGGCCACGCCGUAAAACACCCAACCUUCUGAACGUUGACCUCGGAUCAGGUAGGAAUACCCGCUGAACUUAA
This 256-nucleotide unclassified non-coding RNA is filed under the name uncultured fungus. RNAcentral describes it as "partial contains 5.8S ribosomal RNA, internal transcribed spacer 2, and large subunit ribosomal RNA". Lineage: Eukaryota; Fungi. The record is from RNAcentral.